GUCCUUUAGGGUUAAAUUAAAGGUCUGACCUGCCCACUGAAUUAUUUUAAAUGGCCGCAGUAAUUUGACUGUGCAAAGGUAGCAUAAUCAUUAGUUUUUUAAUUAAAAGCUUGUAUGAAAGGUUGGACGAGGUAAAAUCUGUCUCUAUUUAAUUUAAGAUAAAAUUUAACUUUUAAGUUAAAAGGCUUAAAUAUUAUUAAAAGACGAGAAGACCCUAUAGAUCUUUAUAAUUUAUUUUUUAAAUUUAAUUAAGAAUUUUUUAAAUUUUAUUAAUAAAAUUAUUUUAUUGGGGUAAUAUAAAGAUUAAAAUAAUUCUUUUUUUUUAUUAACAUAAAUUUAUGAUUUUAAUGAUCCAAUUUUAUUGAUUAUAAGAUUAAGUUACCUUAGGGAUAACAGCGUAAUUUUUUUGGAGAGUUCUUAUCGAUAAAAAAGUUUGCGACCUCGAUGUUGGAUUAAAGAUUAUUUCAGGUGAAGAAGUUUGAAAUUUUUGGUCUGUUCGACCAUUAAAUCUUUACAUGAUCUGAGUUCAGACCGGUGUAAGCCAGGUCGGUUUCUAUCUUUAAUAAAUUAAAAUAUUUUAGUACGAAAGGACCAAAUAUUUAAUAUAAAAUAUUUAAAUAUUUUGAUUAUUAUUAA
RNAcentral lists this ribosomal RNA (636 nucleotides) under Nebria delicata. Its description in RNAcentral is "partial large subunit ribosomal RNA". It matches the Rfam family "Bacterial large subunit ribosomal RNA", at positions 1829 to 2736 of the family's 2925-position model. The record is from RNAcentral. Lineage: Eukaryota; Metazoa; Arthropoda; Insecta; Coleoptera; Carabidae.